GGCUCUUUAGCUCAACUGGCAGAGCACCGGGGUGAAGAUCCGGAGGGCGGGGUUCGACUCCCCGGGGAGCCAC
RNAcentral lists this transfer RNA (73 nucleotides) under Lentzea flava. RNAcentral's name for it is "tRNA-Phe". It matches the Rfam family "tRNA". Rfam says of the family: Transfer RNA (tRNA) molecules are approximately 80 nucleotides in length. Their secondary structure includes four short double-helical elements and three loops (D, anti-codon, and T loops). Further hydrogen bonds mediate the characteristic L-shaped molecular structure. tRNAs have two regions of fundamental functional importance: the anti-codon, which is responsible for specific mRNA codon recognition, and the 3' end, to which the tRNAs corresponding amino acid is attached (by aminoacyl-tRNA synthetases). tRNAs cope with the degeneracy of the genetic code in two manners: having more than one tRNA (with a specific anti-codon) for a particular amino acid; and 'wobble' base-pairing, i.e. permitting non-standard base-pairing at the 3rd anti-codon position. The record is from RNAcentral. Lineage: Bacteria; Bacillati; Actinomycetota; Actinomycetes; Pseudonocardiales; Pseudonocardiaceae.